UUCUUAUUAGCUCAAUGGUAGAGCAAAAUACUUCUAAUAUUUUGAUCCAAGUUCGAGUCUUGGAUAAGAAU
This is a transfer RNA of Aspergillus clavatus NRRL 1, 71 nucleotides long. It matches the Rfam family "tRNA". Rfam says of the family: Transfer RNA (tRNA) molecules are approximately 80 nucleotides in length. NCBI's taxonomy places the organism in Eukaryota, Fungi, Ascomycota, Eurotiomycetes, Eurotiales, Aspergillaceae. The record is from Rfam.